GCGGAGGAAAAGAAAMCAACGGGGUAUGCCUUAGUAGCGGCGAGUGAAGCGGCAAAAGCUCAAAUUUGAAAUCUGGCACUUUCAGUGUCCGAGUUGUAAUUUGAAGAAGGUAUCUUUGGGUCUGGCUCUUGUCUAUGUUUCUUGGAACAGAACGUCACAGAGGGUGAGAAUCCCGUGCGAUGAGAUGUCCCAGACCUAUGUAAAGUUCCUUCGAAGAGUCGAGUUGUUUGGGAAUGCAGCUCUAAGUGGGUGGUAAAUUCCAUCUAAAGCUAAAUAUUGGCGAGAGACCGAUAGCGAACAAGUACAGUGAUGGAAAGAUGAAAAGAACUUUGAAAAGAGAGUGAAAAAGUACGUGAAAUUGUUGAAAGGGAAGGGCUUGAGAUCAGACUUGGUAUUUUGUAUGUUACUCUCUCGGGGGUGGCCUCUACAGUUUACCGGGCCAGCAUCAGUUUGAGCGGUAGGAUAAGUGCAAAGAAAUGUGGCACUGCUUCGGUAGUGUGUUAUAGUCUUUGUCGAUACUGCCAGCUUAGACUGAGGACUGCGGCUUCGGCCUAGGAUGUUGGCAUAAUGAUCUUAAGUCGCCCGUCUU
This 589-nucleotide ribosomal RNA is filed under the name Lodderomyces parapsilosis. Its description in RNAcentral is "Candida parapsilosis partial large subunit ribosomal RNA". It matches the Rfam family "Eukaryotic large subunit ribosomal RNA", at positions 50 to 655 of the family's 3401-position model. Lineage: Eukaryota; Fungi; Ascomycota; Pichiomycetes; Serinales; Debaryomycetaceae. The record is from RNAcentral.